GGAGAGGUGGCAGAGUGGUCGAAUGUACCUGACUCGAAAUCAGGCGUACCGCAAGGUACCGAGGGUUCGAAUCCCUCUCUCUCCUCCA
RNAcentral lists this transfer RNA (88 nucleotides) under Herminiimonas sp. Its description in RNAcentral is "tRNA-Ser". It matches the Rfam family "tRNA". From Rfam's summary of the family: Transfer RNA (tRNA) molecules are approximately 80 nucleotides in length. Lineage: Bacteria; Pseudomonadati; Pseudomonadota; Betaproteobacteria; Burkholderiales; Oxalobacteraceae. The record is from RNAcentral.